Molecule: transfer RNA, 94 nt
Filed under: Butyricicoccus faecihominis
Lineage: Bacteria; Bacillati; Bacillota; Clostridia; Eubacteriales; Butyricicoccaceae
Also listed under: 1 other name
Description: tRNA-Ser
Rfam family: tRNA
About the family: Transfer RNA (tRNA) molecules are approximately 80 nucleotides in length. Their secondary structure includes four short double-helical elements and three loops (D, anti-codon, and T loops).
Source: RNAcentral
GGGGCCGUACCCAAGUCCGGUUCAAGGGAGCAGUCUUGAAAACUGAUAGGACGUGAAUAGCGUUGCGAGAGUUCGAAUCUCUCCGGCCCCGCCA